AGUUCUGGGAAAGUCCCUCCAAGCAGGAAGUGAGCUUCUUCAACGUACAGAACAGACUUUACUCGAGUAAUUUGGCUUUUACUAAUAUCCUGCAAUCAUGGGAUGAUUUCGUGUUUUUACCAUGCUUGUUAUCAUGCAGCCCGCUCAUCAACACAAUGGUGAUUAACGUUUCUCAGGCUGUGAAUUCAGUUCAUACCUCGUCUGUCGAUCAAUCAGGUUCAGUGAGUCAGUCAGCUUCUGUAUUGUUGUAUGUGUCAACCAUUCAAGAUGUCAAAGGGCACUCGUAACAAGACUUGCUACAUUGUUCAAGACUAAAGGCUUCCUGUGAUGUCACGACUAGUGAAGGGGUUCUCCAAUCCCGGCAUAGCCUCCACAUCACAAGAAGGCCAGGAGGGAGUAGAAAGGAACACACUGUAUGUUACUCUGUUAAGUAGUGAAUGGAGAUCGUCAAUCGAUGGAGACUUGUCAACCGUCAACAGAGAACUAGCAAUACAGUUGGCUAAACACUCCAGUUUGCAAGUUAGUGUGUUUCUCCCUCAGUGCAGUGAAGAUGACAAGAGAAUUGCUGCUAGUCACAA
This is a long non-coding RNA of Orbicella faveolata, 578 nucleotides long. The record is from RefSeq and is a predicted model, not a curated record. NCBI's taxonomy places the organism in Eukaryota, Metazoa, Cnidaria, Anthozoa, Scleractinia, Merulinidae.